Molecule: ribosomal RNA, 492 nt
Filed under: uncultured bacterium
Lineage: Bacteria
Description: partial 16S ribosomal RNA
Rfam family: Bacterial small subunit ribosomal RNA
Source: RNAcentral
GAGUGAACGCUGGCGGUAGGCCUAACACAUGCAAGUCGAACGGCAGCACAGUAAGAGCUUGCUCUUACGGGUGGCGAGUGGCGGACGGGUGAGGAAUACAUCGGAAUCUACUUUUUCGUGGGGGAUAACGUAGGGAAACUUACGCUAAUACCGCAUACGACCUACGGGUGAAAGCAGGGGAUCUUCGGACCUUGCGCGAUUGAAUGAGCCGAUGUCGGAUUAGCUAGUUGGCGGGGUAAAGGCCCACCAAGGCGACGAUCCGUAGCUGGUCUGAGAGGAUGAUCAGCCACACUGGAACUGAGAAACGGUCCAGACUCCUACGGGAGGCAGCAGUGGGGAAUAUUGAACAAUGGCGCAAGCCUGAUCCAGCCAUACCGCGUGGGUGAAGAAGGCCUUCGGGUUGUAAAGCCCUUUUGUUGGGAAAGAAAAGCAGCAGGUUAAUACCCCGCUGUUCUGACGGUACCCAAAGAAUAAGCACCGGCUAACUUCGUG